CUUACGGUUUUGUACACUUCAUGUUUGAGGUUAUGAUUUUAUCUAUUUUAAAAAAUGUUUAGCUUCGGAGCAUCACGAGGGAUUUAUUAGUUUACUUUGAUGUGCGGUUUUGUAUUUUAGAUUCAGAACGGAGCGAAGAAGCUUAUGGUUUUAUAGAGAUUAAGCGAACCAAAAUUUCUAAAAGGAAAUCGGACUGGGAAGGUAUUUUAGUGAGGUGGUUUUUUGAUUUUACCAAGAGUUUUCACAGAAAAUGUGAAACACCACCGGGAAAAAACAUGGACAAAUUGGUACAAUAUUAAACAAAUUUAAUUUAAAAAAAUAUAUAAU
Molecule: non-coding RNA, 327 nt
Organism: Cinara cedri
Lineage: Eukaryota; Metazoa; Arthropoda; Insecta; Hemiptera; Aphididae
Source: the annotation of a GenBank genome assembly